This 256-nucleotide non-coding RNA is filed under the name Deinococcus sp. RNAcentral describes it as "FMN sequence". It matches the Rfam family "FMN riboswitch aptamer (RFN element)". Rfam says of the family: The RFN element is a highly conserved domain that is found frequently in the 5'-untranslated regions of prokaryotic mRNAs that encode for flavin mononucleotide (FMN) biosynthesis and transport proteins. This element is a metabolite-dependent riboswitch that directly binds FMN in the absence of proteins. In Bacillus subtilis, the riboswitch most likely controls gene expression by causing premature transcription termination within the 5' untranslated region of the ribDEAHT operon and precluding access to the ribosome-binding site of ypaA mRNA. Lineage: Bacteria; Thermotogati; Deinococcota; Deinococci; Deinococcales; Deinococcaceae. The record is from RNAcentral.
GACUUCCUUCGGGGCGGGGUGAAAUUCCCUACCGGCGGUGAUGUCGCUUCAGGUGGCGCGGGCCGUCCCGCGUCACCCGAGCGGAGCGAGCAGAAGGCUCGCCUGUUCACGAACUGACUCAGCCCGCGAAGCCCGCGCAGACUGCACCACGCGCAGGCCCGAUCCAGUGAAACUCUGGAGCCGACGGUGUUAUGGCGCGCAGAGACGCUUUCGGCGUUCUGUCUGGCCCAUUCAGUCCGGAUGAGAGAAGGAGGAA